Molecule: ribosomal RNA, 482 nt
Filed under: uncultured bacterium
Lineage: Bacteria
Description: partial 16S ribosomal RNA
Rfam family: Bacterial small subunit ribosomal RNA
Source: RNAcentral
AUUGAACGCUGGCGGCAUGCUUUACACAUGCAAGUCGAACGGUAACAGGCCGCAAGGUGCUGACGAGUGGUGUACGGGUGCGUAAUGCAACGGAAUGUGCCCAGUCGUGGGGGAUAACUAAUAGCAAGAGUAGCUAAUGCCGCAUACGAUCUAUGGAUGAAAGCGGGGGAGCGCAAGGCCGCGCGCGAUUGUUGCGGCCGCUGUCAGAUUAGGUAGUUGGUGGGGUAAAGGCUCACCAAGCCAACGAUCUGUAGCUGAUCUGAGAGGACGACCAGCCACACUGGGACUGAGACACGGCCCAGACUCCUACGGGAGGCAGCAGUGGGGAAUUUUGGACAAUGGGCGCAAGCCUGAUCCAGCAAUGCCGCGUGCAGGAAGAAGGCCUUCGGGUUGUAAACUGCUUUUGUACGGAACGAAACGGUUCUGAUUAAUACCCGGGGCUAAUGACGGUACCGGAAGAAUAAGCACCGGCUAACUACGUG